GCCCGAGUGGCGGAAUUGGUAGACGCAGGGGAUUCAAAAUCCCCCGCCGCAAGGCGUGCCGGUUCGAGUCCGGCCUCGGGUACCA
RNAcentral lists this transfer RNA (85 nucleotides) under Paracoccaceae bacterium. Its description in RNAcentral is "tRNA-Leu". It matches the Rfam family "tRNA". Rfam says of the family: Transfer RNA (tRNA) molecules are approximately 80 nucleotides in length. Their secondary structure includes four short double-helical elements and three loops (D, anti-codon, and T loops). RNAcentral also lists the same sequence under 1 other name. The record is from RNAcentral. Lineage: Bacteria; Pseudomonadati; Pseudomonadota; Alphaproteobacteria; Rhodobacterales; Paracoccaceae.